Molecule: long non-coding RNA, 1969 nt
Organism: Homo sapiens (human)
Lineage: Eukaryota; Metazoa; Chordata; Mammalia; Primates; Hominidae
Gene: SAP30L-AS1
Product: SAP30L antisense RNA 1 (head to head)
Source: Ensembl
GAACCGGGAACCGGGCUGCAGACUCUCCGGCCCGGGGGAGGGAUGGUGAGCAGGGGCCUGGCUGGACCGAGGGCCAGACUCCAGGAACAGAGGAACACAUUCGGGGACAGACAGUAGAGACGCGGACGGGGACGCUGAGGGACAGACUUGGAGGAGGGGCAUAUGAGGGGACCUAAAGAGGAUAGAGAGUUUCACUCUGGUUGCCCAGGCUGGAGUGCAAUGGCGCGAUCUCGGCUCACCGCAACCUCUGCCUCCCGGAUUCAAGCGAUUCUCCUGCUUCAGCCUCCCGAGUAGCUGGGAUUACAGAUGGGAAGACACAAAAGCAACGGGUGCAGAAGUCUCCAAAUGGAAUCCUGGCAUCAUCCCAGAGCUGCGUAUGCUGAAGGGUCUCUAGCACACAAAGGGAGAGGGAGUUGAUGCAGUCGGCAGAUCUGUAAUUGCAGACAUAAUCUUUUUAGCUGGAGACACCUUUCUGAUUCCACUGAAGAUGAAAUGAAUUCAAUUUGAGAAUUCAUUCCCAUUCUAAAUACCAAAACAGAGGCUUUCAGGAAAUGAAGGCUCUCUCUGUCAUGGAGCCAAAUGUCUGACAGUGGCAGCCAGGUACUCGGUCUAUGACCUGGAAGAGGGAGGGGCUGGGAGGUACAGAGUGGAAGGUAGGUGCCUUGGUGUAGACCUAGCUUCCAGGUAAGGUGAGCCUUACCUCAAACUUGCCAUGUGACCUUAGCCUACUCAUGUAUCCUUCCUGAGCGUCAAUGUCCUCAUCUCUAAAAUGUGUUCACUGGAUGUAGUGAGAGUGCAAAUGAUGGAUGGUGCCUGGAGGCAGGCUGAUGUGUUUUGUCACUUAGCCCCAGCAUGUCAGAUAUCUCAACUGCAAAAUGGGAGCAAACAAAUUUACUAAUCGGGAGAGAAGUAAUACUGGUGUCAGAGAUUCUCCAUAAAUAGGAUACCAAAAAAAUCACUUCUUUCUUUGACAUGCAAUGGCAGCUGCUGCCUCAAACAUGUCAUUUUUUGGCGAGUGCUGACAUCACCAGUGAGCUCUAAGGCAUGCCUACUCCCGCUGGACCUGGCCCUGGCCCUUCCUUGGCUCCCUCCUGAGCUUGAGAGGCAGGGCCAGGCCCGGAAUGGGAGGGGGAGCAAAUAACGAGAGGCCAACCAUUCAAGCUCCAGGACCUCCAGGGAAGAGAGGGCUGGGCCAGAGUAUCAGAGAAGCCUUCUCAGAAGGCAGAGGGCCUGAUUGCCCUGGGCCUCUAGGACUAGUGGGACUGUCAGGAGGCAGAUAAACAGAUAUGCAUUGGGUCAUGAAAGCAUGUGUGAUGAUGAGAGAGGGUGAGGGGGGAGGAGCAGGAAGGGAGGUUGGACAGGAAGGUGGGGCCCCGUGCCUCUGUCUCCUAGCAAUGUCAGGCCUGACCUUGGGAGGGCAGAUACUGAGCCCUGUCCUGCAGCAGCAUCCACCCCUCAUCUGUCCCACCCCAGCUCUACAGCGUGCAAGACAGACAGAGUGUGUGCGAUACAUUUCAAAGGGGCAUUCUACAUCUAUCAUGUGGAUGUCAUAAUUCAGUACGAUGCACAAACAGUACCACAACGACUUGACAGUCUGGCUGGGGCAAUGAGAAUUAGAUAAGCAAAAGCAAUAUCCAAUUUAUCACAUGGACUUGGAGCUGAGAUGAAAACACAUAUGACUGAUGAUGUUCACGGAGUGACAGGAUCACACGGAUAUACCCAGGGUCACGUACAGUUUCCAUGCCUGGGGCUAUAAGAGCUACAAUGGCAUCUCUUUUUCUCCCACCCAGUAAAGCACAGGGUACAGCAGAUGUGUGAGUGUCAUGAUAUAAAGACGUACUAGACACAAAGAUGUGUGCCUUCUGUAAUGUCCUUAACUGUCUCCUCUCCCCAACGAUACCCCCCCACCCGAAUGCCCCAGCAUCUCACCUGAAUCAGGUCACAGGGAGACUCAGAUGAAACAUCACAC